UACAGAUUGACUUCUUCAUGAGAUUCUUCAUCUGUGGUAGAGUCAUCACUGUUACUCCAUACAGCCAUCAUAGCCUUUUUUUUGAACUUUUUUUUACCUUUCUUGAGCUAGGUACAUUCUAAUCUAAAGUAGCCCAGCUUCUUGCACUCAUAACAGAUGAUGGAUUGUUCUUUUUGUUUUUAUUUACUCGGCUCCUCCUU
This 200-nucleotide long non-coding RNA is filed under the name Elaeis guineensis (African oil palm). Its description in RNAcentral is "long non-coding RNA (EGUI_LNC077622)". Lineage: Eukaryota; Viridiplantae; Streptophyta; Magnoliopsida; Arecales; Arecaceae. The record is from RNAcentral.